GCCAUCUUACUGGGCAGCAUUGGAUGGUGUCUGGUCUCUAAUACUGCCUGGUAAUGAUGACGG
MicroRNA precursor from Heterocephalus glaber (naked mole-rat), 63 nucleotides. The record is from Ensembl. NCBI's taxonomy places the organism in Eukaryota, Metazoa, Chordata, Mammalia, Rodentia, Bathyergidae.